GGGCUGUGGACAGACACCAGCACAACCCUGGAGCCUGCUGCAGCUGCUUCCUGUUGUCACCAGGCUCCCCGGCUGAGGGGCUGAGCCCCCUUGCACCUCCCUUGCCCCUGCCUGGCUCUCUCCACGUGGCCACCUGCCUCCGUGGGCCAGCCACGUCCUGUGGAUACAGAGGAAGAGCAAGUUCAAGGAGUGUGAGCUCAGAGGAAGGAAGCGGCCCUGGGCCCAGGUACACUUCCAGCCUCAUUCUCUGCUGGAACGGGAUCCUGCGCCCUGCACUUUCCCCCCAUAGGAUAUGGGUGUGGCCACCCUCUCCAUCCUGAGGUUCAUCGAGGAAGGAAACCAUCAAUGAGAAGGGGGAGCCUGUUAGAGUUCACAUGUGUUUCAUGAGGGCCACCACUCACUUCUGUACACAGCCACCCUUCCAGGACACUAAAUCCAGGACUACAUUAUGGGGAUUCAGAUGCGGGCAGGAGUCCCAGGAGGUUUGAGUUUCCCAAGAAGAUGCACAGUGAACACUUGUUGAUUGACUGACUGAUGGUAAGAAUAAAGAAGUGUGUCUCAUUGGAUUCAGUCCACGGAGUAUGUUGCCACAACCAUAAAGAGGUUAUUCACACUCUGGGCACCUAGACUUCUAGGACACACCCUCAUUUUCCUCUGGCCAGCCCUCUGCCUCCUCCAGGCUAAUGACCUCCCACAGACUCAGGAGGACUCCAGGCUUUAUUUAGGACCUCACUUCCGAUACUCUGCACUCAAAUCCAUCCAAUGCUAUUUCCUGCUGUGUUUUGCUGAUACUCUCCCUCCUUCAUCCUGAACUGACCUUAAAGUCAGCACACUGGGGCUACAGUGAGGCAGGUCAGAACCUUCAGGACACAGUGAAGGAAGGACUUGAAUUCAUCUCUAUUUCACCCAUGACAAAACUGAGGCACCAAAGGACUUAAGUAAAUUUGGAAUAAAUGAAAAAAAAAAUUGUGGAUAUUUCCAAUGGAAAACUUUGCAGUGUUUAGGACAUAUCCUUCUGUGCAAUCUGAUUAGAGCUUUUCAUUGCCUUUGAGCUUGUUUGCAACUCUAAGUUGCAGAGAAUUGAUGGCACAGCAAUGCUUCCUGUCUAUGGAUACGCAAAUAAAUGCUGUUUGUUCCAAGGACAACACUCUCCUUUUGUGGAAAAGUCAAUUUGCUUCCAUUUACAAGUUGAUUUCAACAUUCCUGUCCUAGAACUGCAUCUGUUCUUUGGAUUCUCCAUUGAAUGGUUUGUAAUAUAUCCCUGGUUCCCUUCUUAAUGAUAAGGUAAACAGAUCUUGAGUAUGUGUAUGAGGGUCAUGAUUUCAUCUUUUAAUUUUAUUUAUUGUUUUAAAAAAUUAUUUUUGCCACACCCAAAUUCCCAGGCCGCUGCAGUGACAAUGCUGAGUCCUUGACCUGCUGAACUGGGGAACUGCUAUUUUUUAAAAUUAUUUUUUACCAGGGGUAAUAGGUUAUUUGCCUGCAGUCUCACAAGGAGAGGUAGGCCUAGAAUUUGAACCCAGCAGCUAGGAUGCAGCAUGCAUGUUUAUAACCACCACCCGAUGUUCCAGGUGCUUGCAAAGCCUGAUUGCAUGAGAGUGGCUGCAGCUGUAAGUUAAUCAGUCCUAGCCUAAAUAAGACCCUUGAUCCUAACUCAAACCCUAGCCCCGAUUAAAAGCUAAUAAACUAAAUAGUACUCUAAGGAAAGGAUAUAUGGUACCAUAGCAUUCGGGAGAGACAGCUUUAGGUGGUACAAGCAAGACACUCCAGCUGAGGGGCACUGGGUGGUGUUCUUUAUCUUUCCCAGGACCUCUGUGGCCUCACCGCACUUAGCCUCAACUAGAUACCUAGACUCUUGUGUUUCUUGCUGAGGGCUUCUGCGUGGUCCUUGGUGCUGUGCAGGCCUUUGCUAAAGGCCUGGAUGUGGGAAGGGCUUUGGGAGCUGGUUUUCACUCCCCACAUCACCUGGAGUCAGAGGGAGUUGGAAGGUAUCCAUGGCCUGUGUGCCCUAGAUCCAGUGGCCUGGCCUCCUGCUUUAUUUGUGCUUCUGCACUCAGGGCUGAAAGCCACCAACCUUGUCACAAUGUAGGAUUUGGGGUGUUUGACAACAUUAGAAUGCAUCUGUGUUUUAUUAAUGUGGAUUCUCCAUUUCGUCAUUCACUGAGCUACCUUUAUUUCUGACUGGUUACAAACAAUCCCAUCUUUUUUCUCAUUGGGGAAUUUUCAGGUACAUAUUUUUAUAAAUUGGUCCACUUUGUUACUGCUUUCAGUCAUUGCUUUUAAUUUUUAAAUAAAAAAAUUUAAUUUUGCC
RNAcentral lists this long non-coding RNA (2308 nucleotides) under Sus scrofa (pig). Lineage: Eukaryota; Metazoa; Chordata; Mammalia; Artiodactyla; Suidae. The record is from RNAcentral.